Molecule: ribosomal RNA, 252 nt
Filed under: uncultured prokaryote
Description: partial 16S rRNA
Rfam family: Bacterial small subunit ribosomal RNA
Source: RNAcentral
ACGGAGGGAGCUAGCGUUGUUCGGAAUUACUGGGCGUAAAGGGCGCGUAGGCGGUGAUAUAAGUCAGAUGUGAAAACCAUCGGCUUAACCGAUUGGAUUGCAUUUGAUACUGUAUCACUUGAGUUCAGUAGAGGAGAGUGGAAUUCCCAGUGUAGCGGUGGAAUGCGUAGAUAUUGGGUAGAACGCCAGUGGAGAAGGCGGGUCUCUGGACUGAUUCUGCCACUGAGGCGCCAGAGCUAGGGGAGCGAACAG